CUCAAUUCUCCACACCUCCCUUUUUUCCUGCCCACAAUCUCUUUUCUCCUUCAAAGUUAGAUAAUUGCUUUUCCCACGUACACCUCUGGAAGUAAACAAAACAAAGUUUCAAAGAACAAGAACCCUCUGCUCUUAAUCCCACCUCUCGGCGGUCCUCCGCUGCGGCUGGCAGGUUCGCGUGCGCCGCCUCUGCAGUAAAUAAGAAAUGCAGGCGCCCACCCCCUGGGGACACCUGCUUCCCAAACCCCUGGGGGGUCUCCUGCCUGACUCUGCACCACUUUGAGUGACCUGAGCACAUGGCCCCAAAUUUCCUUGCCGACAAAGGACCUCCAACCUGCUCCUGAUGCCUGGGAGCCAGCCCGAGCACUUGGCCCCAGUCUCUGGAAGGAAGGACGGCAGCCCCUCAGGAUCAAGCAGCAGCUGUUGAGCAGUUGUCGUCUGGCACCUGCAUUAUCCCAUUUAAGGUCCACAACAACCAGGUCAGGUCAAUUCCAUCAUCCUCACUUUAUAGAUGAGGAGCCUUGAGGCACAGUGAAGCCAAGUCACUUGCUCAGGGGCACACAGCAGGGGUGCUGCCUGCGAAGCCCUAAGCUCCAGUCUCUCUAACCCUCUAGAGCAGGAGUUUUGGACCCGCUAGACACUCAGUUCCUCCAGGGCUGAAGGAAAGAAGUCAAGGUAGGAAGGGCCGAUGGAGCCUCCUGGAUCUGGCCACAGAGGAAGCCAGGGGUCUCAGUGCCAGAAUCAGCAAUGUGGUCCUGCUAGGCAGGGAUUCUGCUCUGAGCCUUAGCAAAAAAAGAGGAGAUGACCCCCAGAGGUAGAGAAGAGUGCCAGGAGCCUGAUCCCCACAGCUGGAGGC
RNAcentral lists this long non-coding RNA (856 nucleotides) under Equus caballus (horse). Its description in RNAcentral is "lncRNA (ENSECAG00000057598.1)". The record is from RNAcentral. Lineage: Eukaryota; Metazoa; Chordata; Mammalia; Perissodactyla; Equidae.